GACGAACGCUGGCGGCGUGCCUAAUACAUGCAAGUCGAACGCACUCUCGUUUAGAUUGAAGGAGCUUGCUCCUGAUUGAUAAACAUUUGAGUGAGUGGCGGACGGGUGAGUAACACGUGGGUAACCUGCCCUAAAGUGGGGGAUAACAUUUGGAAACAGAUGCUAAUACCGCAUAAAACCUAACACCGCAUGGUGUAGGGUUGAAAGAUGGUUUCGGCUAUCACUUUAGGAUGGACCCGCGGUGCAUUAGUUAGUUGGUGAGGUAAAGGCUCACCAAGACCGUGAUGCAUAGCCGACCUGAGAGGGUAAUCGGCCACACUGGGACUGAGACACGGCCCAGACUCUACGGGAGGCAGCAGUAGGGAAUCUUUCCACAAUGGACGAAAGUCUGAUGGAACAACGCCGCGUGAGUGAAGAAGGUUUUCGG
Molecule: ribosomal RNA, 427 nt
Filed under: uncultured bacterium
Lineage: Bacteria
Description: bacterial SSU rRNA
Rfam family: Bacterial small subunit ribosomal RNA
Source: RNAcentral